RNAcentral lists this ribosomal RNA (793 nucleotides) under uncultured bacterium. RNAcentral describes it as "bacterial SSU rRNA". It matches the Rfam family "Bacterial small subunit ribosomal RNA", at positions 591 to 1397 of the family's 1533-position model. The record is from RNAcentral.
GGAGUGAAAGCCUGCUUUCAAGGUGGGAAGGGCUUUGGAUACUGGACGACUUGAGUGCGGAAGAGGUAAGGGAAUUCCCAGUGUAGCGGUGAAAUGCGUAGAGAUUGGGAGGAACACCAGUGGCGAAGGCACUUACUGGGCCGUAACUGACGCUGAGGCGCGAAAGCGUGGGGAGCGAACAGGAUUAGAUCCCUGGUAGUCCACGCGGUAAACGAUGAAUGUUAGGUGUUGCGGGUAUCGACCCCUGCAGGCCGGAGUAAACACAAUAAACAUUCCGCCUGGGGAGUACGGCCGCAAGGUUGAAACUCAAGGAAUUGACGGGGGCCCGCACAAGCAGCGGAGCAUGUUGUUUAAUUCGAAGCAACGCGAAAACCUUACCAGGUCUUGACAUCGGAUUAAAGCCCAAGAGAUUGGGUGUGACUUCGGUCGAUCCAGACAGGUGGUGCAUGGUUGUCGUCAGCUCGUGUCGUGAGAUGUUGGGUUAAGUCCCCAACGAGCGCAACCCUUAUGGUCAGUUACUAACGCGUAGAGGCGAGGACUCUGACAAGACGCCGGGGACAACUCGGAGGAAGGUGGGGACGACGUCAAAUCAUCAUGCCCCUUAUGACCUGGCUACAAACGUGCUACAAUGGUGACAACAAAGAGGAGCGAGACCGUAAGGUGGAGCGGACUCAAAAAAGUCAUCCCAGUUCGGAUUGUGGGCUGCAACCCGCCCACAUGAAGUUGGAGUGCUAGUAAUCGCGGAUCAGCAUGCCGCGGUGAAUACGUUCCCGGGCCUUGCACACACCGCCGU